RNAcentral lists this ribosomal RNA (404 nucleotides) under uncultured bacterium. Its description in RNAcentral is "bacterial SSU rRNA". It matches the Rfam family "Bacterial small subunit ribosomal RNA", at positions 29 to 422 of the family's 1533-position model. The record is from RNAcentral.
AAUGAACGCUGGCGGCGCGCCUAAUACAUGCAAGUCGAGCGAGAAGACGUAGCAAUACGUUUGUAAAGCGGCGAACGGGUGAGGAAUACAUGGGUAACCUACCCUCGAGUGGGGAAUAACUAGCCGAAAGGUUAGCUAAUACCGCGUACGCUCCUUGGACUUCGGUUCAGGGAGGAAAGCGAUACCGUGGGUAUCGCGCUCUUGGGUUGGGCUCAUGUCCUAUCAGCUUGUUGGUGAGGAACGGCUCACCAAGGCUUCGACGGGUAGCUGGUCUGAGAGGACGAUCAGCCACACUGGCACUGCGACACGGGCCAGGACUCCUACGGGAGCAGCAGUAAGGAAUAUUGCGCAAUGGGGCAAAGCCUGACGCAGCGACGCCGCGGUGGGGGAUGAAGGUCUUCGGA